This 460-nucleotide ribosomal RNA is filed under the name uncultured bacterium. RNAcentral's name for it is "partial 16S ribosomal RNA". It matches the Rfam family "Bacterial small subunit ribosomal RNA", at positions 338 to 795 of the family's 1533-position model. The record is from RNAcentral.
CCUACGGGAGGCAGCAGUGAGGAAUAUUGGUCAAUGGGCGCGAGCCUGAACCAGCCAAGCCGCGUGAAGGAUGACUGCCCUACGGGUUGUAAACUUCUUUUGUAAAGGAAUAAAGUCCGGCACGUGUGCCUUUUUGUAUGUACUUUAUGAAUAAGGAUCGGCUAACUCCGUGCCAGCAGCCGCGGUAAUACGGAGGAUCCGAGCGUUAUCCGGAUUUAUUGGGUUUAAAGGGAGCGUAGAUGGGUUGUUAAGUUAGUGGUGAAAGUUUGCGGCUCAACCGUAAAAUUGCAAUUGAUACUGGCAGCCUUGAGUACAGUUGAGGUAGGCGGAAUGCGUGGUGUAGCGGUGAAAUGCAUAGAUAUCACGAAGAACUCCGAUUGCGAAGGCAGCCUACUAAACUGCCACUGACAUUGAGGCUCGAAAGUGUGGGUAUCAAACAGGAUUAGAUACCCGGGUAGUC